GACGUAGGGCGCGAGCGUUGUCCGGAUUUAUUGGGCGUAAAGAGCUCGUAGGUGGUUUGUCGCGUUGUUCGUGAAAACCUGAGGCUUAACCUUGGGCGUGCGGGCGAUACGGGCAGACUGGAGUACUGCAGGGGAGACUGGAAUUCCUGGUGUAGCGGUGGAAUGCGCAGAUAUCAGGAGGAACACCGGUGGCGAAGGCGGGUCUCUGGGCAGUAACUGACGCUGAGGAGCGAAAGCGUGGGGAGCGAACAGG
RNAcentral lists this ribosomal RNA (253 nucleotides) under uncultured bacterium. RNAcentral's name for it is "partial 16S ribosomal RNA". It matches the Rfam family "Bacterial small subunit ribosomal RNA", at positions 524 to 776 of the family's 1533-position model. The record is from RNAcentral.